Molecule: ribosomal RNA, 836 nt
Filed under: uncultured bacterium
Lineage: Bacteria
Description: bacterial SSU rRNA
Rfam family: Bacterial small subunit ribosomal RNA
Source: RNAcentral
UAGCGUGCGGAUGGCAAAAACACGCAAGUCGAACGAACCCCUCGGGGUGAGUGGCGAAAGGGCGAGUAACGCGAUCGAACGUAUCCCGAGGUUGGGGAUAGCGUCGGGAAACCGGCGGUAAUACCCAAUGUGCUCUCCGGAGGAAAGGCUUGCUGCCUUGGGAGCGGCGAUCGUCCUAUCAGGUAGUUGGUGAGGUAACGGCUCACCAAGCCGAAGACGGGUAGCGGGUGUGAGAGCAUGACCCGCCGCAUCGGGACUGAGACACUGCCCGGACUCCUACGGGAGGCUGCAGUAACGAAUCUUCCGCAAUGGGCGCAAGCCUGACGGAGCAAUGCCGCGUGUGGGAUGAAGCUGUUUCGCAGUGUAAACCACUGUCAGGGUCUAGUACCAACGAACAGACCCAGAGGAAGGGCCGGCUAAUUCCGUGCCAGCAGCCGCGGUAAUACGGAAGGCCCGAGCGUUAAUCGGAAUCACUGGGCUUAAAGCGUGCGCAGGCGGACUUGAAGGCAUCUCGUGAAAGCCCACAGCUCAACUGUGGAAUUGCGGGGUGAACCACUUGUCUCGAGGCAGGUAGGGGUCAACGGAACUAUGGGUGGAGCGGUGAAAUGCGUAGAUAUCCAUGGGAACGCCAAUGGCGAAGGCAGUUGACUGGGCCUGUCCUGACGCUCAGGCACGAAAGCGUGGGUAGCGAACGGGAUUAGAUACCCCGGUAGUCCACGCCGUAACGAUGCACACUAGGUCGGGGAAGUUCUCACGCUCUCCCGGCCGAAGGAAAACUAUUAAGUGUGCCGCCUGGGGAGUACGGUCGCAAGGCUAAAACUCAAAUGAAUUGACGG